AACGAACGCUGGCGGCAUGCCUAACACAUGCAAGUCGAACGAGACCUUCGGGUCUAGUGGCGCACGGGUGCGUAACGCGUGGGAAUCUACCCUUGGGUUCGGAAUAACAAUUAGAAAUGACUGCUAAUACCGGAUGAUGACGUAAGUCCAAAGAUUUAUCGCCCAAGGAUGAGCCCGCGUAAGAUUAGCUUGUUGGUGGGGUAAUGGCCUACCAAGGCGACGAUCUUUAGCUGGUCUGAGAGGAUGAUCAGCCACACUGGGACUGAGACACGGCCCAGACUCCUACGGGAGGCAGCAGUGGGGAAUAUUGGAAAAUGGGCGAAAGCCUGAUCCAGCAAUGCCGCGUGAGUGAUGAAGGCCUUAGGGUUGUAAAGCUCUUUUACCAGGGAUGAUAACGACAGUACCUGGAGAAUAAGCUCCGGCUAACUCCGUGCCAGCAGCCGCCGUAA
This 449-nucleotide ribosomal RNA is filed under the name uncultured bacterium. RNAcentral describes it as "partial 16S ribosomal RNA". It matches the Rfam family "Bacterial small subunit ribosomal RNA", at positions 29 to 523 of the family's 1533-position model. The record is from RNAcentral.